RNAcentral lists this unclassified non-coding RNA (580 nucleotides) under Hevea brasiliensis (rubber tree). Lineage: Eukaryota; Viridiplantae; Streptophyta; Magnoliopsida; Malpighiales; Euphorbiaceae. The record is from RNAcentral.
AGGACACUCUUUUAAGUAUUAAAAUGCCUCAGGGUUUCUUGUAGUUUUAUAGCAGAAUUUCCAAUUUUGAGUCAUUUGAAGAUUUUGGGUUACUCUAGUUCAUUUCAGUUGCUUAACAUUGAUUUGUUUCAGUUUCAUCAACUCAAUUUUUAACUCAUGUUGAUUUGUGUAAAAUAUGAAAACAGAAUGGACAGAAGAGCAAUGUUGCAUUUACGAGUAUCUGCUACAUUGGAUUUCUGUUCAAUCUUGUUUACUUGAGUACUAAAGUUUCAGUAAAAUAGAAUUUGGACAACCAGUUUGGAGUAAAUCAAUAUUUAGUGAAGGACCAGAACUUGAGCAGUAAGUUGGGUGAAAAAUGAUGCAUUUUGACCAAUAAGUUUUUGAAAUAGAAAUUACAGCCAUAUCAAAUUGUUAUGACUAAUAAGGAGAAUAAUGGGCUGUGAUUGUAUGGGAGAGUAACGGAAUAGUUAGGGUGGCCUGUGAUAGUUAGCUGAAGAAUUGAAAAUUGUAGGAAGAUUGUAAUUGGUGGGAACAAUUAUGGGAAGGGCUGGUAGCCGUAUAAAUAAUAGCUAUUGUAACU